Molecule: ribosomal RNA, 485 nt
Filed under: Procambarus tenuis
Lineage: Eukaryota; Metazoa; Arthropoda; Malacostraca; Decapoda; Cambaridae
Description: partial 16S ribosomal RNA
Rfam family: Archaeal large subunit ribosomal RNA
Source: RNAcentral
GACCGUGCGAAGGUAGCAUAAUCAUUAGUUUUUUAAUUGGAGGCUAGAAUGAAUGGUUGGACAAGAAAUAAUCUGUCUUAAUUCAAUAUAUUGAAUUUAACUUUUAAGUGAAAAGGCUUAAAUAAUUUGAAGGGACGAUAAGACCCUAUAAAACUUUAUAUUUAUAAAUGAUAGUUAAUUUUAUUUUAAAAUAUUAUUUUAAAAUAUUUGGUUGGGGUGACAAGGAUAAAAUAAAAAAUAAUUGUCUUUUUUUUAUUUACAGUAAUAUUUGGUUUAAUGAUCCUAAAAAGGAUUAGAAGAUUAAGUUACUUUAGGGAUAACAGCGUAAUUUUCUUUGAAAGUUCUUAUUGACAAGAAAGUUUGCGACCUCGAUGUUGAAUUAAAAGUUCUUUAUAGAGUAGAAACUAUAAUAGAAGGUCUGUUCGACCUUUAAAAUUUUACAUGAUUUGAGUUCAGACCGGUGUAAGCCAGGUUGGUUUCUAUCU